CUACAGGCUUAACACAUGCAAGUCGAGGGGCCUUUUGGUCUUAGCUUGCUAAGGCCGAUGGCGACCGGCGCACGGGUGAGUAACACGUAUCCAACCUGCCGUCUACUCUUGGACAGCCUUCUGAAAGGAAGAUUAAUACAAGAUGGCAUCAUGAGUCCGCAUGUUCACAUGAUUAAAGGUAUUCCGGUAGACGAUGGGGAUGCGUUCCAUUAGAUAGUAGGCGGGGUAACGGCCCACCUAGUCUUCGAUGGAUAGGGGUUCUGAGAGGAAGGUCCCCCACAUUGGAACUGAGACACGGUCCAAACUCCUACGGGAGGCAGCAGUGAGGAAUAUUGGUCAAUGGGCGAGAGCCUGAACCAGCCAAGUAGCGUGAAGGAUGACUGCCCUAUGGGUUGUAAACUUCUUUUAUAAAGGAAUAAAGUCGGGUAUGGAUACCCGUUUGCAUGUACUUUAUGAAUAAGGAUCGGCUAACUCCGUGCCAGCAGCCGCGGUAAUACGGAGGAUCCGAGCGUUAUCCGGAUUUAUUGGGUUUAAAGGGAGCGUAGAUGGAUGUUUAAGUCAGUUGUGAAAGUUUGCGGCUCAACCGUAAAAUUGCAGUUGAUACUGGAUAUCUUGAGUGCAGUUGAGGCAGGCGGAAUUCGUGGUGUAGCGGUGAAAUGCUUAGAUAUCACGAAGAACUCCGAUUGCGAAGGCAGCCUGCUAAGCUGCAACUGACAUUGAGGCUCGAAAGUGUGGGUAUCAAACAGGAUUAGAUACCCUGGUAGUCCACACGGUAAACGAUGAAUACUCGCUGUUUGCGAUAUACUGCAAGCGGCCAAGCGAAAGCGUUAAGUAUUCCACCUGGGGAGUACGCCGGCAACGGUGAAACUCAAAGGAAUUGACGGGGGCCCGCACAAGCGGAGGAACAUGUGGUUUAAUUCGAUGAUACGCGAGGAACCUUACCCGGGCUUAAAUUGCAGAUGAAUUACGGUGAAAGCCGUAAGCCGCAAGGCAUCUGUGAAGGUGCUGCAUGGUUGUCGUCAGCUCGUGCCGUGAGGUGUCGGCUUAAGUGCCAUAACGAGCGCAACCCUUGUUGUCAGUUACUAACAGGUUCCGCUGAGGACUCUGACAAGACUGCCAUCGUAAGAUGUGAGGAAGGUGGGGAUGACGUCAAAUCAGCACGGCCCUUACGUCCGGGGCUGCACACGUGUUACAAUGGGGGGUACAGAGGGCCGCUACCACGCGAGUGGAUGCCAGUCCCCAAAACCUCUCUCAGUUCGGACUGGAGUCUGCAACCCGACUCCACGAAGCUGGAUUCGCUAGUAAUCGCGAAGCAGCCCCGGCGCGGUGAAUACGUUCCCGGGC
This 1344-nucleotide ribosomal RNA is filed under the name uncultured bacterium. Its description in RNAcentral is "bacterial SSU rRNA". It matches the Rfam family "Bacterial small subunit ribosomal RNA", at positions 40 to 1379 of the family's 1533-position model. The record is from RNAcentral.